UACGGGGGGUGCAAGCGUUGUUCGGAAUUACUGGGCGUAAAGGGCUUGUAGGCGGCCAACUAAGUCAGACGUGAAAUCCCUCAGCUUAACUGGGGAACUGCGUCUGAUACUGGUUGGCUUGAGUGCAGGAGAGGAACGCGGAAUUCCAGGUGUAGCGGUGAAAUGCGUAGAUAUCUGGAGGAACACCGGUGGCGAAGGCGGCGUUCUGGACUGCAACUGACACUGAGAAACGAAAGCCAGGGUAGCAAACGGG
This 253-nucleotide ribosomal RNA is filed under the name uncultured bacterium. RNAcentral describes it as "partial 16S ribosomal RNA". It matches the Rfam family "Bacterial small subunit ribosomal RNA", at positions 524 to 776 of the family's 1533-position model. The record is from RNAcentral.